RNAcentral lists this ribosomal RNA (1107 nucleotides) under Triticum aestivum (bread wheat). RNAcentral describes it as "partial small subunit ribosomal RNA". The record is from RNAcentral. Lineage: Eukaryota; Viridiplantae; Streptophyta; Magnoliopsida; Poales; Poaceae.
AUGUCAAGUCUCCGGUCCCUUACUGUGAUCAACUUCAACCUCAAUGCAAUUUCUGGUGUGAUUCCUGAAUUCUUCGCGGACUUUCUCAAUUUAAGUGUUCUUAAACUCAGCUAUAACCAUUUUAGUGGUUGGUUUCCUCCAAUGAAAUUUCAACUCAAGAACAUAAGAGUCCUUGAUGUGUCAAGCAAUGGUGAACUCUCAGGGCAUUUACAAGAAUUUCCAAAUGAUACUUAUUUGGAGACUUUGAAUCUACAAUACACUGCCUUCUCCGGUAUCCAUUUAAGCUCUUUUAGCAACCUUCUAUCUCUGAGGGAGCUAGGUUUUGAUGGAAGGUCAAUUUCUAUGGGGCCGACCGAUUUAUUGUACCACAACCUCGAUUCCUUGCAAAACCUGCAACUCUCUCCUGUGGGAUUUUUGGGAGACUUAGGAGCAUUUUUCUCAUGGAUUAUUAGCCUUAAGAGCUUGACAAGCUUGCAACUCUCUUAUUGCUAUUCCUCCAAGAUAAUGCUCGCCUUGGAUGGCAACCUCACCAAUUUGACGAGUUUAGAUAUUUCUAGUUGUGACUUGCCACAAUCAUUUGGCAACCUCAACAAGUUGACCUCCUUAAGAAUAUCUGAUUGUGUCCUCUCAGAGAUGAUAGCAUCUUCAAUUGGCAAUCUCAAGGAACUAAGAAGCUUGGAAAUCUCUUAUAGUGACUUCUCUGGAACAAUACCAUCUUCAAUUGGCAAUCUCAAGAAACUAAGAAGCUUGAAAAUCUCUCACAGUAACUUCUCAGGGACAGUACCAUCUUCAAUUGGCAAUCUCAAGAAACUAAGAAGCUUGGAAAUAUCUCAUAGUGGCUUAUCAGGUCAAAUACCAGCACCUAUUGGAUAUCUCAGAAGAUUGAAGAUCUUAGUACUAGCGGGCUGCAUGUUAUAUGGCAGAAUACCAAGUUUAAUUGCCAACUUGACUCAACUGACUUAUCUAGACCUUUCGCAGAAUGUCCUUCAAGGUAAGGUUCAUAACCCAAGUAUACCCGAAGCAACUGGAACAAGAACUGAAAAUAAACCCAUGCAUAUAUCUGUCAUGAAUACAAUUUUCUGCAUCAACCUGCAUUUUAUUAGCUAG